Long non-coding RNA from Populus euphratica (Euphrates poplar), 320 nucleotides. RefSeq lists it as uncharacterized. The transcript is spliced from 2 exons. NCBI's taxonomy places the organism in Eukaryota, Viridiplantae, Streptophyta, Magnoliopsida, Malpighiales, Salicaceae. The record is from RefSeq and is a predicted model, not a curated record.
AUAGAUUAAAAGAAAAACCAGGAAAAAAAAUCCAGCCUAAAAAGCACUUCAAGGAGGCGCUAGCCUUGAGGCCUUUCGCUUCAUUGAAAUCCAACGCACGAGGCUAAUAAAGGCGCGCCUCUCGACAACACCCAGUCUCGAGUGAACUGUGACUAGUCCAAUGGAUAGAUAAUACAGAGCAUUAUCAACUUUGUUGAACAAAAAUUGUUUAUAACGUUGCAAACAACGACUGAACCGACUGGGUGCUGUCCACCUUAUUAAGAUGUGUAAAAAAAAUUGUUCGCUCGCCUACAAAGAAAAUCUUAAACGAAAAUAAAGAG